CAUCACUUUGCUUUCUCCGCCGCCCGCCUGCUCUACUGCACGCCGCCGCUUCCUCUGCAGCACGCCGCAUCCUCUCCCGGCACGAUGUCGCCCGGCGCCCCCUCCUCCUCCCCCCCCCCAACCCACACCACCACCACGGCCUCGACCCUUCUCGUCCUAUCCUCACGACGGCCUCGCCCCGCCGGCCCUCGUGCCCACGACGGCCUCACCCCGCCGGCUCCUGCCACCAUCGCGGCCUUGCCUUGCCGCCAACUCCGUCAAUCUUCCCUAGGUCGACUCUGCUGCCGCCAUCCUACUGCCCCAGAGCAGAUCGAGAUGUGAGCUGCUAGACAAGAUGGGGGAGGAGGCAUCUCGAAUUGGACGGAGAUCCAGUGCGUUGACGUGCCCGCCGUAAUCAUCGCCCCCCGUGCUUGGCUCACACAGUCGCUCUGGGAAGGAGUUCGCAGCUCACGUACGUGCUCGGUUGCUGAAGGCGGCUUCGCCACAUUGUCAUUCAUUUGUGAGAUGUUUCUCUUUCUCUAUGUUGGCAUGGAUGAUAUAUAGAGUACUGGAAGAUUGUUAGUGAAACACAUUCAGCCCAAUGAAGUGUAUCGCCUUUGAGCUCCAUUAUUUAGGCCAGAUCUCAUGAGAGAUGCUGUGUCAAUUGCAUUGGCAUCCAAUAAGGAUUGAAGUGGUGGUCGUAACACAGUCAGUUGGGAGGACCCAAUGGCAGAGUCGAUAUUUUCCUUGUUAGAAACAGCAGUAUAUGGUGUUCCUAAUGAAUUCAGACCAGGAAGUGGAGUCCGAUCACUCAUUAUGACAUCAACAGGUAUGCCUGCAUCAUAAUUGUAUGAACAAUGUCAGUUGUUGACACACAAAUGCCGGUAUUAUGGUUGGAUGUAGGAGAACACAUGACCUUCCGCAGCUGGUGUGUGUCGUUGCUGGGUGAGAGCAGACUGCACAGUGGGCCUCUCCACCGUGUCAAAACCUGCCCAAAAGAACACUUAAUUGAUAUGAUUUAAUUGAGAUUCAUCAAUGUAUGAUAAAAAAUAGAGAAAAUGGAGUAACCAGGCGACAUGGCCCCGGGUGGCUUAGAUGGAGUGUUGAUUUCAUUUAGAAUAGCAAAUGGCGCACUUGGCCUCUCCACAGUGUCAAAACCUGGCCAGAAGAACACUUAACUAACCUGAUUUUACUUGUGAUUCAUGAAAUGUAUGGUAAAAAACGGAGAAAAUGGAGUAACCAGGCGACAUGGCCCCAGGUAGCUUAGAUGGAGUGUUGAUUUCGUUUAGAAUAGCAGCCGCAGCUUUCUUACGAUCCCUUGCCUCUUGUCUUUUCUUUAAUAUUGCAUCCCUGUUUAGUGCAUACCUCUCCCUUUCCCUCUGUCUCUUCAGCUCUUUUGGAUCUGCUUUUUGACCUGCGAGACAAUGACAUAUUCUUCUGGAUUUACAAACCUAAGUAGGUCUCGAGAUGUCGUGGGGCCACACAGGGUGAUGACACUGGAGGUAGGGCAGCGCGCCAGGUUGAGGACGUCCACCGGGUCGAGGACGUCGUGGACAGGGCGAGGGCGGCGUGGCGAGGAGAGGUACGGCAGCAAGGCGGGUGGAGGACGUCGCGGACACCAGGAGCCAGGAGAGGUAAGGCAGCAAGGCGGGUCGAGGAUGUCGCGGACACCAGAGCUGCGGCGGGGCGGCUGGCGGAGGCGAGGUUUGUGGCGUGAUGCCGGCGUUGAUCGUGGAGGUUCCUGGCGUGGUGGCGGCUUUGAUCGCGGAGUCCACAUUAAUUCCCUUGAGGUGUCAUCGUUGGGGGCUGUGUAGCAUCCUGAACGAGGAGUCUGUCGGCAGAACAUUUGUUUUCAGCCGUAGAUCUGACUGUAGUAUAAUGGAUGUAACGUGGACCGUUGGAUGCAACUUAAUGGAUCUGAUGGGACGUGCGGGGUUAUCCUGUGUGCACUUUUUGGGGUGCACGUAGGGGAAGUCAUGUUAUCAUUUAAUAGUAGUAUAGAUGUAGCUUUGCGA
Molecule: long non-coding RNA, 1994 nt
Organism: Triticum dicoccoides
Lineage: Eukaryota; Viridiplantae; Streptophyta; Magnoliopsida; Poales; Poaceae
Exons: 5
Source: RefSeq, a predicted model, not a curated record